UUAAGCGACUAAGCGUACACGGUGGAUGCCCUGGCAGUCAGAGGCGAUGAAGGACGUGCUAAUCUGCGAUAAGCGUCGGUAAGGUGAUAUGAACCGUUAUAACCGGCGAUUUCCGAAUGGGGAAACCCAGUGUGUUUCGACACACUAUCAUUAACUGAAUCCAUAGGUUAAUGAGGCGAACCGGGGGAACUGAAACAUCUAAGUACCCCGAGGAAAAGAAAUCAACCGAGAUUCCCCCAGUAGCGGCGAGCGAACGGGGAGCAGCCCAGAGCCUGAAUCAGUGUGUGUGUUAGUGGAAGCGUCUGGAAAGGCGUGCGAUACAGGGUGACAGCCCCGUACACAAAAAUGCACAUGCUGUGAGCUCGAUGAGUAGGGCGGGACACGUGGUAUCCUGUCUGAAUAUGGGGGGACCAUCCUCCAAGGCUAAAUACUCCUGACUGACCGAUAGUGAACCAGUACCGUGAGGGAAAGGCGAAAAGAACCCCGGCGAGGGGAGUGAAAAAGAACCUGAAACCGUGUACGUACAAGCAGUGGGAGCACGCUUAGGCGUGUGACUGCGUACCUUUUGUAUAAUGGGUCAGCGACUUAUAUUCUGUAGCAAGGUUAACCGAAUAGGGGAGCCGAAGGGAAACCGAGUCUUAACUGGGCGUCAAGUUGCAAGGUAUAGACCCGAAACCCGGUGAUCUAGCCAUGGGCAGGUUGAAGGUUGGGUAACACUAACUGGAGGACCGAACCGACUAAUGUUGAAAAAUUAGCGGAUGACUUGUGGCUGGGGGUGAAAGGCCAAUCAAACCGGGAGAUAGCUGGUUCUCCCCGAAAGCUAUUUAGGUAGCGCCUCGUGAAUUCAUCUCCGGGGGUAGAGCACUGUUUCGGCAAGGGGGUCAUCCCGACUUACCAACCCGAUGCAAACUGCGAAUACCGGAGAAUGUUAUCACGGGAGACACACGGCGGGUGCUAACGUCCGUCGUGAAGAGGGAAACAACCCAGACCGCCAGCUAAGGUCCCAAAGUCAUGGUUAAGUGGGAAACGAUGUGGGAAGGCCCAGACAGCCAGGAUGUUGGCUUAGAAGCAGCCAUCAUUUAAAGAAAGCGUAAUAGCUCACUGGUCGAGUCGGCCUGCGCGGAAGAUGUAACGGGGCUAAACCAUGCACCGAAGCUGCGGCAGCGACACUAUGUGUUGUUGGGUAGGGGAGCGUUCUGUAAGCCUGUGAAGGUGUACUGUGAGGUAUGCUGGAGGUAUCAGAAGUGCGAAUGCUGACAUAAGUAACGAUAAAGCGGGUGAAAAGCCCGCUCGCCGGAAGACCAAGGGUUCCUGUCCAACGUUAAUCGGGGCAGGGUGAGUCGACCCCUAAGGCGAGGCCGAAAGGCGUAGUCGAUGGGAAACAGGUUAAUAUUCCUGUACUUGGUGUUACUGCGAAGGGGGGACGGAGAAGGCUAUGUUGGCCGGGCGACGGUUGUCCCGGUUUAAGCGUGUAGGCUGGUUUUCCAGGCAAAUCCGGAAAAUCAAGGCUGAGGCGUGAUGACGAGGCACUACGGUGCUGAAGCAACAAAUGCCCUGCUUCCAGGAAAAGCCUCUAAGCAUCAGGUAACAUCAAAUCGUACCCCAAACCGACACAGGUGGUCAGGUAGAGAAUACCAAGGCGCUUGAGAGAACUCGGGUGAAGGAACUAGGCAAAAUGGUGCCGUAACUUCGGGAGAAGGCACGCUGAUAUGUAGGUGAAGUCCCUCGCGGAUGGAGCUGAAAUCAGUCGAAGAUACCAGCUGGCUGCAACUGUUUAUUAAAAACACAGCACUGUGCAAACACGAAAGUGGACGUAUACGGUGUGACGCCUGCCCGGUGCCGGAAGGUUAAUUGAUGGGGUCAGCGCAAGCGAAGCUCUUGAUCGAAGCCCCGGUAAACGGCGGCCGUAACUAUAACGGUCCUAAGGUAGCGAAAUUCCUUGUCGGGUAAGUUCCGACCUG
Molecule: ribosomal RNA, 1961 nt
Filed under: human gut metagenome
Description: bacterial LSU rRNA
Rfam family: Bacterial large subunit ribosomal RNA
Source: RNAcentral